This 1509-nucleotide ribosomal RNA is filed under the name Helicobacter pylori. Its description in RNAcentral is "bacterial SSU rRNA". It matches the Rfam family "Bacterial small subunit ribosomal RNA". The record is from RNAcentral. Lineage: Bacteria; Pseudomonadati; Campylobacterota; Epsilonproteobacteria; Campylobacterales; Helicobacteraceae.
UUUAUGGAGAGUUUGAUCCUGGCUCAGAGUGAACGCUGGCGGCGUGCCUAAUACAUGCAAGUCGAACGAUGAAGCUUCUAGCUUGCUAGAGUGCUGAUUAGUGGCGCACGGGUGAGUAACGCAUAGGUCAUGUGCCUCUUAGUUUGGGAUAGCCAUUGGAAACGAUGAUUAAUACCAGAUACUCCCUACGGGGGAAAGAUUUAUCGCUAAGAGAUCAGCCUAUGUCCUAUCAGCUUGUUGGUAAGGUAAUGGCUUACCAAGGCUAUGACGGGUAUCCGGUCUGAGAGGGUGAACGGACACACUGGAACUGAGACACGGUCCAGACUCCUACGGGAGGCAGCAGUAGGGAAUAUUGCUCAAUGGGGGAAACCCUGAAGCAGCAACGCCGCGUGGAGGAUGAAGGUUUUAGGAUUGUAAACUCCUUUUGUUAGAGAAGAUAAUGACGGUAUCUAACGAAUAAGCACCGGCUAACUCCGUGCCAGCAGCCGCGGUAAUACGGAGGGUGCAAGCGUUACUCGGAAUCACUGGGCGUAAAGAGCGCGUAGGCGGGAUAGUCAGUCAGGUGUGAAAUCCUAUGGCUUAACCAUAGAACUGCAUUUGAAACUACUAUUCUAGAGUGUGGGAGAGGUAGGUGGAAUUCUUGGUGUAGGGGUAAAAUCCGUAGAGAUCAAGAGGAAUACUCAUUGCGAAGGCGACCUGCUGGAACAUUACUGACGCUGAUUGCGCGAAAGCGUGGGGAGCAAACAGGAUUAGAUACCCUGGUAGUCCACGCCCUAAACGAUGGAUGCUAGUUGUUGGAGGGCUUAGUCUCUCCAGUAAUGCAGCUAACGCAUUAAGCAUCCCGCCUGGGGAGUACGGUCGCAAGAUUAAAACUCAAAGGAAUAGACGGGGACCCGCACAAGCGGUGGAGCAUGUGGUUUAAUUCGAAGAUACACGAAGAACCUUACCUAGGCUUGACAUUGAGAGAAUCCGCUAGAAAUAGUGGAGUGUCUGGCUUGCUAGACCUUGAAAACAGGUGCUGCACGGCUGUCGUCAGCUCGUGUCGUGAGAUGUUGGGUUAAGUCCCGCAACGAGCGCAACCCCCUUUCUUAGUUGCUAACAGGUCAUGCUGAGAACUCUAAGGAUACUGCCUCCGUAAGGAGGAGGAAGGUGGGGACGACGUCAAGUCAUCAUGGCCCUUACGCCUAGGGCUACACACGUGCUACAAUGGGGUGCACAAAGAGAAGCAAUACUGCGAAGUGGAGCCAAUCUUCAAAACGCCUCUCAGUUCGGAUUGUAGGCUGCAACUCGCCUGCAUGAAGCUGGAAUCGCUAGUAAUCGCAAAUCAGCCAUGUUGCGGUGAAUACGUUCCCGGGUCUUGUACUCACCGCCCGUCACACCAUGGGAGUUGUGUUUGCCUUAAGUCAGGAUGCUAAAUUGGCUACUGCCCACGGCACACACAGCGACUGGGGUGAAGUCGUAACAAGGUAACCGUAGGUGAACCUGCGGUUGGAUCACCUCCUUUCUAGA